RNAcentral lists this ribosomal RNA (320 nucleotides) under uncultured soil bacterium. Its description in RNAcentral is "bacterial SSU rRNA". It matches the Rfam family "Bacterial small subunit ribosomal RNA", at positions 26 to 346 of the family's 1533-position model. The record is from RNAcentral.
AGAUUGAACGCUGGCGGCAGGCCUAACACAUGCAAGUCGAGCGGUAGAGAGGUGCUUGCAUCUCUUGAGAGCGGCGGACGGGUGAGUAAUGCCUAGGAAUCUGCCUAGUGGUGGGGGAUAACGUUCGGAAACGGACGCUAAUACCGCAUACGUCCUACGGGAGAAAGCGGGGGACCUUCGGGCCUCGCGCCAUUAGAUGAGCCUAGGUCGGAUUAGCUAGUUGGUGAGGUAAUGGCUCACCAAGGCGACGAUCCGUAACUGGUCUGAGAGGAUGAUCAGUCACACUGGAACUGAAGACACGGUCCAGACCUCCUACGGGG